AGAGUUUGAUCCUGGCUCAGAUUGAACGCUGGCGGCAUGCCUUACACAUGCAAGUCGAACGGUAGCGGGCCUUCGGGUGCCGACGAGUGGCGAACGGGUGAGUAAUGUAUCGGAACGUACCAUUGAGUGGGGGAUAACGUAGCGAAAGUUACGCUAAUACCGCAUAUUCUCUCCGGAGGAAAGCAGGGGACCGCAAGGCCUUGCGCUCUUUGAGCGGCCGAUAUCAGAUUAGCUAGUUGGUGAGGUAAAGGCUCACCAAGGCGACGAUCUGUAGCGGGUCUGAGAGGAUGAUCCGCCACACUGGAACUGAGACACGGUCCAGACUCCUACGGGAGGCAGCAGUGGGGAAUUUUGGACAAUGGGGGCAACCCUGAUCCAGCCAUGCCGCGUGAGUGAAGAAGGCCUUCGGGUUGUAAAGCUCUUUCGGCCGGGAAGAAAUCGCAUGGGCUAAUACCCUGUGCGGAUGACGGUACCGGCAUAAGAAGCACCGGCUAACUACGUGCCAGCAGCCGCGGUAAUACGUAGGGUGCGAGCGUUAAUCGGAAUUACUGGGCGUAAAGCGUGCGCAGGCGGUUUUGUAAGACAGGCGUGAAAUCCCCGGGCUCAACCUGGGAACUGCGUUUGUGACUGCAAGGCUAGAGUACGGCAGAGGGGGGUGGAAUUCCACGUGUAGCAGUGAAAUGCGUAGAGAUGUGGAGGAACACCAAUGGCGAAGGCAGCCCCCUGGGUCGAUACUGACGCUCAUGCACGAAAGCGUGGGCAGCAAACAGGAUUAGAUACCCUGGUAGUCCACGCCCUAAACGAUGUCAACUAGGUGUUGGGUGGGUAAAACCAUUUAGUACCGGAGCUAACGCGUGAAGUUGACCGCCUGGGGAGUACGGCCGCAAGGUUAAAACUCAAAGGAAUUGACGG
This 912-nucleotide ribosomal RNA is filed under the name uncultured bacterium. RNAcentral's name for it is "bacterial SSU rRNA". It matches the Rfam family "Bacterial small subunit ribosomal RNA", at positions 8 to 916 of the family's 1533-position model. The record is from RNAcentral.